GCUAAGUAACGCACAGAAUGGUCGGGGGACGAUAAAGGCAGAACUUGAAGCAUUAGAUUAAAGAUACUCUCUCCUAAUUAUAAUUUUUACUAGUAACUCAUCAGCUGAAGCAGGUUUAUAGUGUAGCAGUUCACUGAAUGGUUUGUGAUUUGGUCUGAAAAAAUAUGUUAUUUGGAAAUGGAUCGAUACAAGCGCCAGAUUAGACUCCGUUGUGACCGUGGAUUACCUAUCAAACGAGAUACACCCGUGAAACCAGCGCUCACCAGACGAGACAAGCACAGGAAACUUCUAUUCCGCAAGCAUUAUGAAGCUUUUCCAGAAGAACCUGAGAGGGAAGUCACGAAUGACUCCACUGUCAAACCAAAGAGCCCAGUAUCUGCCAACACUGUACACCCCAAAUCUACUUUUAGCUUAAGCACACCUGCACUUACUGAAACUACCGGACACAAAGCAACCUUACCUGCCGUUCAGGUGACUGUAGUAAAGGCUCAUGAAGGUGAUGAAAUGUCGGGUAAAGAAGACGAGCAAAGCUUGGCAGUGACUCUGGAAAGCUUCACAUUAUCUAGCAUGGAGACUGACACAACUUUCAGCUCUGGUGACACAGAGGAUGAGGACUUUUUGACCUCCGCAACUUCUAACAAUCUUCCCUCUCCAGAGAUCUUCAGAAGAGAAAACCAGGUGGAAACCUUCAAUUUCUCCAUUGGGGAAGACCUGCUGGGUCUCCAUCGUCACAUAAAAAACUCCACUUUGUUGGAUGUCAGCCACGCUGAGAGCAUACACAUGCAUCAUCCCCCUAACCUUUCUACCAUCCUGGAUGCCUCCACUAUUCUUGCUGAAAAGACCUGUGAGAUCAGCAACAACAGAGAAGCCGGAUCUGCUGCUAAAAUACAAAAUGACUCGUUGAAAUCAGGCAUGUAGACAUGAUCAUGAUGACCUGCCGAAGUUUAAACCAAGCAUCAGAAUGGAGAAGAAAGGUGACUUUGAACGUAGCUUGGUUGUUGGUGCCAGACAGGCUGGUGUGAGUAUUUUAUAAAUUGCUGAUCUACUGGGAUUUUCCCACACAUCCAUCUUG
Long non-coding RNA from Oreochromis aureus, 1072 nucleotides. Lineage: Eukaryota; Metazoa; Chordata; Actinopteri; Cichliformes; Cichlidae. The record is from Ensembl.